This 242-nucleotide long non-coding RNA is filed under the name Vigna radiata. Its description in RNAcentral is "long non-coding RNA (VRAD_LNC005934)". Lineage: Eukaryota; Viridiplantae; Streptophyta; Magnoliopsida; Fabales; Fabaceae. The record is from RNAcentral.
AUGGAGAGAAAAAAUGAGUGUGUAGAGAAUCUGUUUGGCUGAUCCUCGUGAGGGUGAUGACGAAAUUGGAUUCCUAAAUUCAACUCUGUAACCAUUUUUCACCAUGCACCCUUUCAAAACAACAUGUCUCUGUUAACCAACUUUUUUUUUCUUUUUUCCUUUCUUUUCUUUUUUUCGUUUUCUUCUCUUUUUUUCUUUUUUUUUUUUCAAAAUAAUAAAAUUAAAUGAAAACUAAAAUUAAA